RNAcentral lists this ribosomal RNA (117 nucleotides) under Periophthalmus magnuspinnatus. The record is from RNAcentral. Lineage: Eukaryota; Metazoa; Chordata; Actinopteri; Gobiiformes; Gobiidae.
UCAAGUGGCCAAACCCCUUUGUCAAACACCUGCUCUCGUCAGAUCUCAGAAGCUAAGCGGAGUUGGGCUUGGUUAGUACUUUGAUGGUACAAGUGCCACAGUGGGACGCCAAUGGCA